AUGGUAACAAGGCUCAGACAUCCAAGGAAGGAAUUAGCAGCAUUAGCUCUCAAGCCUGGCUGGGCGAAAGCUCUUAGGCGGCAACUGCGAAUGUUUUGA
This 99-nucleotide ribosomal RNA is filed under the name Triticum aestivum (bread wheat). Its description in RNAcentral is "partial small subunit ribosomal RNA". Lineage: Eukaryota; Viridiplantae; Streptophyta; Magnoliopsida; Poales; Poaceae. The record is from RNAcentral.